GACGUAGGUGGCAAGCGUUGUCCGGAAUUAUUGGGCGUAAAGGGAGCGCAGGUGGGAAAGUAAGUCUGUCUUAAAAGUGCGGGGCUCAACCCCGUGAGGGGAUAGAAACUACAUUUCUUGAGUGCAGGAGAGGAAAGCGGAAUUCCUAGUGUAGCGGUGAAAUGCGUAGUUAUUAGGAGGAACACCAGUGGCGAAGGCGGCUUUCUGGACUGUAACUGACACUGAGGCCCGAAAGCCAGGGGAGCGAACGGG
Molecule: ribosomal RNA, 252 nt
Filed under: uncultured bacterium
Lineage: Bacteria
Description: partial 16S ribosomal RNA
Rfam family: Bacterial small subunit ribosomal RNA
Source: RNAcentral